Molecule: non-coding RNA, 954 nt
Filed under: Tariqilabeo latius (stone roller)
Lineage: Eukaryota; Metazoa; Chordata; Actinopteri; Cypriniformes; Cyprinidae
Description: 12S rRNA
Rfam family: Bacterial small subunit ribosomal RNA
Source: RNAcentral
CAAAGGCAUGGUCCCGACCUUACUGUCAGCUCUAACCCAACUUACACAUGCAAGUCUCCGCAAUCCAGUGAAUAUGCCCUCAAUCCCCCGCCCGGGGAAGAGGAGCAGGCAUCAGGCACAAAAAUCUAGCCCAAAACGCCUAGCCUAGCCACACCCCCAAGGGAAUUCAGCAGUGAUAAACAUUAAGCCAUAAGUGAAAACUUGACUCAGUUAGUGUUAAAAGGGCCGGUAAAACUCGUGCCAGCCACCGCGGUUAAACGAGAGGCCCUAGUUGACAAUACAACGGCGUAAAGGGUGGUUAAGAGUAAACGUAAAUAAAGUCAAAUGGCCCCUUGGCCGUCAUACGCUUCUAGGCGUCCGAAGCCCUAACACGAAAGUAACUUUAAUAACUUCGCCUGACCCCACGAAAGCUGGGAAACAAACUGGGAUUAGAUACCCCACUAUGCCCAGCCGUAAACUUAGACAUCCAUCUACAAUUAGAUGUCCGCCAGGGUACUACAAGCAUUAGCUUAAAACCCAAAGGACUUGACGGUGUCUCAGACCCCCUAGAGGAGCCUGUUCUAGAACCGAUAACCCCCGUUAAACCUCACCACUCCUGGCCACCCCAGCCUAUAUACCGCCGUCGUCAGCUUACCCUGUGAAGGUAAUAAAAGUAAGCAAAAUGGGCACAACCCAGAACGUCAGGUCAAGGUGUAGCGCAUGGAAUGGAAAGAAAUGGGCUACAUUUUCUAUUACAGAACACUACGAACAUGCACCAUGAAACAGUGCUUGAAGGAGGAUUUAGUAGUAAAAAGGAAAUAGAGUGUCCCUUUGAACCCGGCUCUGAGACGCGCACACACCGCCCGUCACUCUCCCCUGUCAAAACGCACCAAAAAUACUUAAUAAACCAGCACUGACAAGGGGAGGCAAGUCGUAACACGGUAAGUGUACCGGAAGGUGCACUUGGAAUAAACC